AGCGAACGCUGGCGGCAGGCUUAACACAUGCAAGUCGAGCGGGCAUCUUCGGAUGUCAGCGGCAGACGGGUGAGUAACACGUGGGAACGUACCCUUCGGUUCGGAACAACUCUGGGAAACUGGAGCUAAUACCGGAUACGCCCUUAUGGGGAAAGGUUUACUGCCGAAGGAUCGGCCCGCGUCUGAUUAGCUAGUUGGUGGGGUAACGGCCUACCAAGGCGACGAUCAGUAGCUGGUCUGAGAGGAUGAUCAGCCACACUGGGACUGAGACUCGGCCCAGACUCCUACGGGAGGCAGCAGUGGGGAAUAUUGGACAAUGGGCGCAAGCCUGAUCCAGCCAUGCCGCGUGAGUGAUGAAGGCCUUAGGGUUGUAAAGCUCUUUUGUCCGGGACGAUAAUGACGGUACCGGAAGAAUAAGCCCCGGCUAACUUCGUG
This 435-nucleotide ribosomal RNA is filed under the name uncultured bacterium. RNAcentral describes it as "partial 16S ribosomal RNA". It matches the Rfam family "Bacterial small subunit ribosomal RNA", at positions 29 to 507 of the family's 1533-position model. The record is from RNAcentral.